Molecule: long non-coding RNA, 2054 nt
Organism: Ostrinia nubilalis (European corn borer)
Lineage: Eukaryota; Metazoa; Arthropoda; Insecta; Lepidoptera; Crambidae
Exons: 2
Source: RefSeq, a predicted model, not a curated record
UGUCGCCCAGCAAGUUCCCGCCCUUCGCCUUCAGCCGCGUGCGCGCCUACACCGCCGAGGCCUCCGCGCCGCUGCCCUGCGCUUACUAUGAAUAAUGUCGACUGAGAAAUGGUGCAUCAAUUAAAAUCAAUAAUGUAAGUCUAUUUGUUGAACUUCUAAUUGUUCGUAGUAAAUGGUAUUCACACCCUUCUCUUCCAAUGCUUUUGAUAUAUUUUUGUAUAAAGUGCUUUAGCUAAGCAACUUAUUAUGCUUUAAGUUCGGGUGUGCGACAUGAGCUAAAACUAUGUUUUGAACUAUAUCUGCCUUAUGCUCUUAGAAUGGUUGUAUCGUAAGUGUUACUUUUAAGAAAUUAAAAUAACUCGCAAAUGAUGAGGACUCUGUCAAAUUAUAAUGAACUUUUGUAGCAUCUCAAGUUUCUGGUAUCUUUUGUCGUCAGUAAUAAAAGAAGAGAUGAACUUUUACUUUGAUAGAAUUGGCUUGGGAGUCUUUUAACAGACAGUUGUGUAAUUCUUUAAUGAGAAAUGUCGACGUUAACUUGUAUCUGGCGUAGGCGUGCCGUAUUACGGCAGUUUGUUUCUCUAUUUUUAUACUACCUUUAUCACGAACUUUCAGAAGAAUAGAUAUCUUUACUUCGCUAGAUGGUUGUCAAUUCCUUUCGAAAGGUUUGAUGAUAUCGGCACAAAUGCAGGCUCAAACUUGUUAGGUGGCUAUAUUUUUCAAUGUAUGUAUGCCAUUAUAUAGUAGUACAUAUUAUGGUUUGCACGCCAAAUAGUAAUCCACGAAUUUUCUCUAUUAACUUUAAAAGUAUAAUAAGACUAGUCACACGCUGAAGACUUUUAAACUUAUUAAGAACUUAAGAAGUAGUGUCAAUGUUAUAAACUAGCAUCGCCGCGGCACUGCAUUCAUUGAUUGUGUCAGAGAUCUUAUGUACAGCUUGUGCCAUCCACAGUGAAAUUGGAAACUGCUUAUCCAUUCAAAAUGCAAAGGUGCCGUAGACUUAAUGUUACUUACGAUUGCAAUAAUGUUCCCGUCUGCUCGAUGUCCCGUAGCAGUGUGCAGUCAAAAACCACAAAAAAUCUUCAGAUAAAAAAAAAUACGCUUUAUUUUGUAUGAGCAACAGGGUUUCUUAUAAAUUGUAAACCUAUUUAGGCCAAAGCAAAUUUUGGAAGUUAUUCGAGGUUUUUGGGUACAAUAAUGUUGAAGUACAAUAUUCAUAUAAUGUUAAUUAAUUCUCGGGCCCGAAUAUUCAAUAAAUAAUAGAUCGAGCAUGUGUUUGGUUGAAUAUCGAAAUUCAACUAAUCACUGGUUUUAAUCUAAUCUUGAGUUUGAAUCUAGUUUUGAUCGUUUUUGAGAAUACGAGUUUUAAGACAGUAUCUGGUUGCGACUUGAUGUUUUUCAGUCCAGUUUCUGGCAUAGUUAAGCAAUAAUUAUAAUGAAAUAAUGUCGCUUUACAGCGAUGAUAUUUUUCGACGUUAGUGUGUUAGUUUACUUGACAACUUGGCUUUGAAAUCUAUUACGACCUGAUAAAGUACAAAAUUAUUUUACAUUGAGCGGUUUUCUUUCUCUUAGGUAUUUGUAGUAAUAACGAAUUGUUGUAGAUAAUUAAAUGAAAGGUUCUUGUUUAUAAUUUCAUAUUGAUGUAUAAGCUUCGUCUGUCCGACUUUUUUAAUCUGUGUGUUCCUCCUGGGAAUUGAACCCAGAACAUCCGAAUUUAGAAUCUAAUUCACUGAACCACGGAAACGUCGAUCUUAUAUACCUAGUUCCUGAUUUUUAAGUAAUUAUGGAUGAGUGAUAUUUUUAUACCUCUUCACUGUGUACAUAAUAAUAAAAUUGUUUCACCGCUGUCCGAUUCAAGAUUCGUGCAAUCAUAGUUGAGUUGUCAAGUCGGAACUUUGUUGCUUGUUACUUUAUUUAUUUGAAUAGAACAGUCCUAGACUAAGUUCUAAUUUAUGUGAGGUUCUCACAGACCCGUGGUCGGUAACUAAUAUUUAUAGAAUGCUUUGUAAACUAGUCUUAAGUUUCAGGAAAAUAAAUGAGAUUUAUUGAAACCAAAA